Non-coding RNA from Arachis ipaensis, 1180 nucleotides. NCBI's taxonomy places the organism in Eukaryota, Viridiplantae, Streptophyta, Magnoliopsida, Fabales, Fabaceae. The record is from RefSeq and is a predicted model, not a curated record.
UCUCGACUCUCAACCUCUUCCCUCAUCACCUUGGUGCCGCCUCCACCCUCACCGCUGAGCUUCCCCUUUUUACUGCUUUCCCCUCGCUCUCAAGGUCACUGCUCACCGCAACAAUCGCGUGCCUGAGAAUCCUGCCCAAGGAGAAUAUCGCGUCGCACCGUCACGCGCCUAACCCAGCUGAAGAGGACGUCAUCGUUGUGUGCCUAACCGAGCCGAUGAGAAUGUCGUCGUAACCACCCUAACCCAGUCCGAGGAUAAUCAUCGCGUCAGAGGAGGGUCAUCUUCGCCGCUUCCAGCAAGAUCGUUCUUCAUCGCGCACCUGACCUAGCUGAGGAGAACGUUAUCGUCGCGCGCCUAAUAAGAGAGAAGGGUCGUGGGGAUGCUGUAUGUAGAAAUAACGUUCGGUAAAGAGAGAUUGGAGAAGAAAGAGAGGCGACGUUGCUGAUGGAGGUUCUGGCAUCGACGAUGUUACAGUUGGCGAAGAAAAAGGUUGAGGCAGGUUUGCAGAGGAUCUGUUAGUUUUUUUAUGGUUGAUGGCUGGUAUGUAUAAGGUAGGGGUAAACAGUUUUAGAUUUGGUUUAAAUUUUGUUUUUGGAUGAGUGAUGGCUGGAUGUAACUUGGUGUUUGAUGUCGCUGGUUGAUUAAUUUGGUAGUAGUUGUGUUUGACUGAAAUGGAUUUAGAAUUGAAUGAAUGAAUCUGAAAAAAGUUUUGUUGGUUUAGGUGUUUUUUGGUGUCCGAUUGAUUUGGUUUGGGUAUGGUUUGUGAACUUAUGACUGAAUGUUGCUGGUGAUAGUGCACAUUUCUAUUAUUUUUUUAGUCUUUUUAACCCCCGUUAUCCGAUGUGAUGACGGGGCGGGGGACGGAUUAUGGGUGGCGGGGGACGGGGGGAUCCUCCUGUCCCAUGGAAAACCGUUACCAUCCCUAAUCACCUGGAGCUCUUGGAGAGCAAACACUGAAAGUGGCUCCUUUGUUUCCUCCAUUUGAUACUGGUUUCAGCAGCCUACGCUUCAUAGAAGCUGUCACUUGUAUAGGGCUGAAAUUAUCAAACACCUUUCCAGGAUCAAAGUGAUUAGUGGAUGAAAAUAGCUCUUUGAAAUAGUUUUCAGCCAUCGAUGUGAUGUCUUCAGGAUCUGACACUAUUCCAUUAUUUCUAAUUAAUCCCCAAAUUCUAUUCGUCAA